UAAUCCCGAGGGCAAACCCGGUGAAAACCAGGGACGCAAAGUUCUGGGUCUAAGGUCGUUAUGACUAUGAUUGCCAGACUGCAUGG
Molecule: non-coding RNA, 86 nt
Filed under: Peptococcaceae bacterium
Lineage: Bacteria; Bacillati; Bacillota; Clostridia; Eubacteriales; Peptococcaceae
Description: c-di-GMP sequence
Rfam family: c-di-GMP-I riboswitch aptamer
About the family: GEMM was predicted in a large-scale screen for bacterial structured RNA regulatory elements. Genes associated with GEMM are involved in a diverse array of functions, including chemotaxis regulation, signal transduction, secretion and chitin.
Source: RNAcentral